This 93-nucleotide transfer RNA is filed under the name Pseudomonas citronellolis. RNAcentral's name for it is "tRNA-Arg". The record is from RNAcentral. Lineage: Bacteria; Pseudomonadati; Pseudomonadota; Gammaproteobacteria; Pseudomonadales; Pseudomonadaceae.
UACCGGCGGUUGUUCGGGAUCGGGGUCCGGCUGCGGCUCGGGCGUCGGACCGGGGCCGGGUUCCGGCUCGGGUUCCGGUUCCGGGUCGGGAUC